GUUUGCAAUUCUGAGUGCAGGAUGGCGCUACUGUUCGUUAAGGAGGUGAAGGCGACGAAGUGUGUUUCUUGUUAGCGUAACCGCUGCGGCAGCGGAGGACAAGGGUCGUUGUCUUAGUCGUCCGCCGUUGUUGUGGCGGCAGCGACGAUGAUGAGCGAAGCUUUUCCUCAUUGCAUUUUUUUCGGCUGCGGCACCAGUGGUUGCGGAGGUGGAAAUUACAGUCAUCGUGGUUGGCAGCGGGAGUGGUGCCAACCGCGGCCGCGGCGGAAGGAGAUAGAGGCGAAUGAGGGGUCGAGAAGGAGGAUGCUGUUCGGAAGGAUAGGAUCAAGCAGAUUGGUGUUAAGAUCGACACGCACUAU
RNAcentral lists this long non-coding RNA (359 nucleotides) under Ananas comosus (pineapple). RNAcentral describes it as "long non-coding RNA (ACOM_LNC030495)". Lineage: Eukaryota; Viridiplantae; Streptophyta; Magnoliopsida; Poales; Bromeliaceae. The record is from RNAcentral.